RNAcentral lists this ribosomal RNA (784 nucleotides) under uncultured marine bacterium. RNAcentral describes it as "bacterial SSU rRNA". It matches the Rfam family "Bacterial small subunit ribosomal RNA", at positions 14 to 794 of the family's 1533-position model. The record is from RNAcentral.
UGAUCCUGGCUCAGGAUGAACGCUAGCGGCAGGCCUAACACAUGCAAGUCGAGGGGUAACAGGAAAGCUUGCUUUCGCUGACGACCGGCGCACGGGUGCGUAACGCGUAUGCAACCUACCUCAUACUGGAGGAUAGCCCCUGGAAACGGGGAUUAAUACUCCAUAGUAUCACGAAUUCGCAUGUUUUUGUGAUUAAAGUUUUUCGGUAUGAGAUGGGCAUGCGUCCCAUUAGCUUGUUGGUGAGGUAACGGCUCACCAAGGCAACGAUGGGUAGGGGGCCUGAGAGGGUGGUCCCCCACACUGGUACUGAGACACGGACCAGACUCCUACGGGAGGCAGCAGUGAGGAAUAUUGGUCAAUGGAGGCAACUCUGAACCAGCCAUGCCGCGUGAAGGAUGACGGCCCUAUGGGUUGUAAACUUCUUUUAUAGAGGAAGAAACUUGUCUACGUGUAGACAACUGACGGUACUCUACGAAUAAGGAUCGGCUAACUCCGUGCCAGCAGCCGCGGUAAUACGGAGGAUCCAAGCGUUAUCCGGAUUCAUUGGGUUUAAAGGGUCCGUAGGCGGGUCUUUAAGUCAGUGGUGAAAGCCGACAGCUCAACUGUCGAACUGCCAUUGAUACUGGAGACCUUGAGUACAAAUGAAGUAGGCGGAAUGAGUCAUGUAGCGGUGAAAUGCAUAGAUAUGACUCAGAACACCGAUUGCGAAGGCAGCUUACUAACAUGUAACUGACGCUGAGGGACGAAAGCGUGGGGAGCGAACAGGAUUAGAUACCCUGGUAGU